This 292-nucleotide long non-coding RNA is filed under the name Nicotiana benthamiana. Its description in RNAcentral is "long non-coding RNA (NBEN_LNC008560)". Lineage: Eukaryota; Viridiplantae; Streptophyta; Magnoliopsida; Solanales; Solanaceae. The record is from RNAcentral.
UGACUGAUACAACUGUUUAGUAGUACAUUUCUAAUGUUUCCAGUUCUGGAUCCUUUGUAGAGUGUCCCUGGAUUGGACGAUCUUCUUAACCAUCCAGCUAGCUUGGGUAGGAAUUGGCAUGGACUCUAUUGGCCUGUCUUCGAUAUAAUACACUGUGAUCCACCUUAUCCACAACUUGUCCUUUUUAUGGGCUAUGUCCCAGCAGGUCUUUGCAAUAGCAGCCUUGUUCCAGAGUUUGAGGUUGGUUAGAUUCAUUCCACUAACUGACUUUGGGGUACACAUUUUGUCCCAG